RNAcentral lists this ribosomal RNA (500 nucleotides) under uncultured Ascomycota. RNAcentral's name for it is "eukaryotic LSU rRNA". The stretch from base 169 to 322 matches the Rfam family "5.8S ribosomal RNA". The record is from RNAcentral. Lineage: Eukaryota; Fungi; Ascomycota.
CAUUAAAGAGUAUGAUGCCCUUCGGGGUAUACCUCCCACCCUUUGUUUAUUAUACCUUUGUUGCUUUGGCAGACCCGGCUUCGGCCCACCGGCUCCGGCUGGUCAGUGUCUGCCAGAGGACCUAAAACUCUGUUUGUUAAUAUUGUCUGAGUACUAUAUAAUAGUUAAAACUUUCAACAACGGAUCUCUUGGUUCUGGCAUCGAUGAAGAACGCAGCGAAAUGCGAUAAGUAAUGUGAAUUGCAGAAUUCAGUGAAUCAUCGAAUCUUUGAACGCACAUUGCGCCCUCUGGUAUUCCGGGGGGCAUGCCUGUUCGAGCGUCAUUACAACCCUCAAGCUCUGCUUGGUAUUGGGCGUCACCACUCGUGGUGUGCCUUAAAAUCAGUGGCGGUGCCAUUCGGCUUCAAGCGUAGUAAUUCUUCUCGCUUCUGGAGUCCGGGUGUGUGCUUGCCAGCAACCCCCAAUUUUUAUAAGGUUGACCUCGGAUCAGGUAGCGAACCC